AGGAAUAUCCGUACUCCGGAGCUGGCCUGACUUGUUUGCCCACAACUCAGAUCAAGGCGUUAUCCAUGCAUGGAGUGAAGCAAGACACAGAUGGUGGUGGCCGCCCCUGCUGAGGACCUGUGGUCUAGGAGAGCAUGUUGGAGUAGAAGCUGAAGCUCUCUGUCACGGUCUUGGAGUCGCGAGAGGAGCCAUUGGAGCUGGAGACAUUAAGGCCAAAACGAUUUGAAGGUCAGUCAUGAAGGCACAGUCCAGGACUA
This is a long non-coding RNA of Zalophus californianus (California sea lion), 257 nucleotides long. RefSeq lists it as uncharacterized. The transcript is spliced from 3 exons. The record is from RefSeq and is a predicted model, not a curated record. Lineage: Eukaryota; Metazoa; Chordata; Mammalia; Carnivora; Otariidae.